UAACACGUAGGUAAUCUACCUUUGAGUGGGGAAUAACAAUCGGAAACGAUUGCUAAUACCGCAUAAUGCAGCGGCACCGCAAGGUGACAGUUGUUAAAGGAGCAAUCCGCUUAAAGAGGAGCCUGCGGCAGAUUAGCUAGUUGGUAAGGUAAUGGCUUACCAAGGCUACGAUCUGUAACCGACCUGAGAGGGUGGUCGGUCACACUGACACUGAAUAACGGGUCAG
This 226-nucleotide ribosomal RNA is filed under the name uncultured bacterium. RNAcentral's name for it is "partial 16S ribosomal RNA". It matches the Rfam family "Bacterial small subunit ribosomal RNA", at positions 111 to 334 of the family's 1533-position model. The record is from RNAcentral.